AGGUUUGCUGGCUUGGUUCUAAGGUUUGGGCUUGUAGUGGUCCUUGUCUCUGCUGUGAGGCUGUAUCUACACGUUUAUUUCAGUUUCUCGUAGGUUCAUGUCUUUCUAAAGGUUUCAUUUGGAGGUGAAGGUCAAUGCAGAACUGUAGAGUAAGAUGCCUUAUGGUGAAAUUGAAGCUAAAUCCUUGCGAUGUGGGAAAGAACUAACAAGUGAACCAUGUUAUAAAAAAUUUAAGUCAACUGAAGAAGCUUAUGUUUUUCCCCAUCCUGGUAAUGCUAAUUUUUACAAAAUUCAACAGAAAACUGGAAAUGAUUGGGUCUCUGUCACCAAAGUUGAUGUCAGAAAGCAUAGUUAUUCUCAAGAGGAUAAACCCAAAACUACAGACUUGCACAAACCUGUUCACAGUGAGAAACCUGGAAAUAGGCCAGGUGUUACUAGAUCCAUUGGUUCACAAGUUUUACAGGGUACAAGGCCUACAUUGGUAUCCAGAGAUGAUGAGAUAUAUAGCACAAGUAAAGCAUUUAUAGGACCCCUUUACAAACCCCCUGAGAAAAAAACUUAUAGUAAAAAGAAGAAACAAACAGACACUGUCAAUGGUAUAGAUGGCAAAGGAAGACAAGAACAGAAACAGAAAUUUAACUUAAAAAAAUCAGAGAUUGACAAUGAAUUAUUUCAGUUUUACAAAGAAAUUGAAGAGCUUGAAAAUGAAAAGGAUGAUACAGAAGGGAUUUGUAAGGAAUCUGAACCCUCUGGGGAUGAGUUCAUUCCAUGUUACCAGGACAAUAAUAACGAUCUGUUAAAGUCUGAAGAAGAGAAGAAAACAGACUUUACUAAUCCUCCUCAGUCACACUGUGAUUAUCAAACGAAUGUAGGGAAUGAACCAGACAAAUAUCUUUGUAAUGGACAAGUAAAAAUUACAUCUUGUGACCUUUCAUCGACUUCUUUCAAGUCUGAAUGGCCAUCAGGACAUUCUUUUUUAGCAUCCCAAGAUCCUCUUCCCAGUUUUGACUAUCAAAAAGUCAGUACUCCACCCAGUCCACCACCAAAUACUUUUCAUCCUCACAAUGGCUCGCUUAUGCAAAAUGGAUAUUACGUAAAUAAUUGUAAUGUUAACUGGAAUUGUUCGACUUUUGAUCCAAACAAAGAAUAUAUUGAUUGUAGUGAGAGUAGAAAUGGCUGUAGUGGACAACCUGGUUAUGUUGAUAAUGGUUUCUAUGAAACUGGUGAAGGAUGCUGGAAAGACCCUUCUAUGGACACAUGUAAUAGAACAGACAGAUUUAUGAACGAACCAUUUCAAGAGGAAAAGUUAAAUAAAUUGCAGAAGUUACUUAUUUUAUUAAGAGGCUUGCCUGGUUCUGGGAAAACGACGUUAUCUCGAAUUCUGCUUGGUCAGAGUCCUGAUGGCAUUGUGUUCAGCACUGAUGACUAUUUUCACCAUCAAGAUGGGUACAGGUAUAAUGUUAAUCAACUUGGUGAUGCUCAUGACUGGAACCAGAACAGAGCAAAACAAGCCAUCAAUCAGGGGCGAUCUCCAGUUAUAAUAGACAACACUAAUAUACAAGCUUGGGAAAUGAAACCAUAUGUGGAAAUGGCCAUAGAAAAAGGAUACAAAGUAGAGUUUCAUGAACCUGAAACUUGGUGGAAAUUUGAUCCUGAAGAAUUAGAAAAGAGGAAUACACAUGGUGUGUCUCGAAAGAAGAUUGCUCAGAUGUUGGAUCGUUAUGAAUAUCAAAUGUCCAUCUCUAUUGUAAUGAAUUCAGUGGAACCAACACACAAAAGCACACAAAGAACUUCUCCUUCAUAGGGGAGUCAGGUAGAGAGUUUUGAAGUAAACUGGGCACACACUAAGCAAAGUCUGGCAGAAGAGAAACAGGAAAAGAAACAAAAGCUGAACAUUCAAAGUAGAACUAUGGAAAAAAAUUCACUUGAAAAUUUAAGUUAUCCUAUACCAGGAAUCCAGAAUCCAUCUCAGAGUGAAGAGGAUGACUUAGGAAAAGACCAACAGAGAAUCUGCCACUUUCACUGGUUGUCAGGGAAAUGAACUACGGGAUUUAAUAAAUGUCCAUGAAGAAGAACCGUACAAAAAGAUAAAUCCUAAAGUGACUUUCCCAAAUGUUUAUAAUUGAGUUGGCUGGCCAGUAUACCAAAGAAUUACCUUCAUAAGGAGGAUGAUGACUUAUUUCUGUUUAUGUAGUGCUAAAGGAAAGCUCUGUGUUUGUCCAACAGUGAAUGAAAAUUUCACCUCUGUAACACGUGAUGACUGCUCUGGCAUGAAGGUAGAAAAUUAUAUUAGAUAGCACUAUAUCAUAGCAUUGUAUAGCCAGGACCAAAUUUUAGAUGUCCCUGAUCAUUUAUGAAGAAAACCAAUAUGGUAGAUAAAAGUUUCCUGAAUGAAACAAUUCUAUAUAGUUAGGAUCCACAACUUCCUAUAAAGUUUUGAGAAAGAGCAUAGUGUAAAUACAACUGAAAACACUUAACUUUUUUUCUCAACUUAUUUGAUGGAGAAUUACAAGUGGGCUCUGAUAAGACAACACUAUAUUGAUAGCUGGCCUGAGGGACCUCUUAAGUUUAUAUAUGUUAAGAGUGACCAAAGAAAGAUAGACAUUUGGCUUGUCCUGACAGCUGGGACAAUUGAUUAAAUUGAUCUCCACUUAUAAAGGAACCAAGAAAAAGUCUGGAAACAUUGGUGGAGAAGCUUUUGAUAGAAAUUGAAGACUUGUGACCCCCAAUUGAGACUCUGGAUUCAUUCAUAGAAACAGAAAUAUAUCUUCAAAAGCGGCUUACUUACACUGGAGUAUAGAAAGUGGCAGAAAGCAAUUUUCAGUUGGCACCAAAAUUUAACUUACUGGGAUGAAAUCAUUUCUGUUAUAACAUAAUGUAACCUGUUAACAGAAAACCAUGGACUAAAAAUUAUUUCAGAAGAAAAAAUACUCAGAAACAAAUAAUGGAUAAUAAACAAAACCUUAAGAACUUCAGUCACCAAUCAUGUUUUUCCUUGAUGUCAUCAAAGAACCUUCUCUAAAUGUUGAGUCUUGUUGCCAAAUGUCUAUGUGGUUCUCCUCAACUGAAAGACACUGAAGAUGCUCAGUUUGCAUGGAAGACAUCAGUAAAGGCUCCUGACAUCAUAAAGAAAGCUAGAGCUGGGGCAUUAUCUACAUCACUUCUGAAGCUGAUGAAAUGACAGUUGCAACAGGACUUUCCCAGGGCCCUGAUUUUCAGCACAGAUGAUUUUUUCUUCAGGGAAGAUGGUGCCUACGAGUUCA
Condylura cristata (star-nosed mole) is the source of this 3263-nucleotide RNA transcript. It is a transcript of the gene named NEDD4 binding protein 2-like 2, with no coding region annotated. The transcript has 10 exons. Lineage: Eukaryota; Metazoa; Chordata; Mammalia; Eulipotyphla; Talpidae. The record is from RefSeq and is a predicted model, not a curated record.